CCUACGGGGGGCAGCAGUGAGGAAUAUUGGUCAAUGGACGAGAGUCUGAACCAGCCAAGUAGCGUGAAGGAUGACUGCCCUAUGGGUGGUAAACUUCUUUUAUAAAGGAAUAAAACGAGGCACGUGUGCCUUUUUGCAUGUACUUUAUGAAUAAGGAGCGACUAACUCCGUGCCAGCAGCCGCGGUAAUACGGAGGAGCCGAGCGUUAUCCGGAUUUAUUGGGUGUAAAGGGAGCGUAGAUGGGUUGUUAAGUCAGUUGUGAAAGUUUGCGGCUCAACCGUAAAACUGCAAUUGAUACUGGCAGUCUUGAGUACAGUUGAGGUAGGCGGAAUUCGUGGUGUAGCGGUGAAAUGCGUAGAUAUCACGAAGAACCCCGAUUGCGAAGGCAGCUUACUAAACUGUGACUGACAUUGAUGCUCGAAAGUGUGGGUAGCAAACAGGAUUAGAUACCCCUGUAGUC
RNAcentral lists this ribosomal RNA (460 nucleotides) under uncultured bacterium. Its description in RNAcentral is "partial 16S ribosomal RNA". It matches the Rfam family "Bacterial small subunit ribosomal RNA", at positions 338 to 795 of the family's 1533-position model. The record is from RNAcentral.